CGGAGCUGCAGUAAUUGUGGAAACAGCUUCUGCUCUCGAUGCUGCUCCUUCAAGGUGCCCAAGUCCUCCAUGGGGGCCACAGCAAAAUCCUGAAACAUUUGGUAUGUGCCGAAGAAUAGAUACGAUGUACCUGUGAAUUGUGAAGGGUAAUAACAAGAUGAAUACCUGUGACCGCUUCACUAAAGUUGAAAAACAAGAGCCUUGGCAACACCCCCGCAGCUCCCGGCACUGCUCCUGCCUUCCUGGAGUCAAUCACCAGCUGCAAUUUUAAUCUUUUAUUUCCUUGGCACUUUGAACAAAAUUAAAAAUUCAUUUUUUUCGUUUUAUAAAAGCUGUACAUACAUACUGUAAAUAAAAAACACAGAUAAGCAAAA
RNAcentral lists this small RNA (374 nucleotides) under Pongo abelii (Sumatran orangutan). RNAcentral's name for it is "processed transcript". Lineage: Eukaryota; Metazoa; Chordata; Mammalia; Primates; Hominidae. The record is from RNAcentral.